RNAcentral lists this ribosomal RNA (236 nucleotides) under uncultured Actinomycetales bacterium. Its description in RNAcentral is "partial 16S ribosomal RNA". It matches the Rfam family "Bacterial small subunit ribosomal RNA", at positions 97 to 334 of the family's 1533-position model. The record is from RNAcentral. Lineage: Bacteria; Bacillati; Actinomycetota; Actinomycetes; Actinomycetales.
GGCGAACGGGUGAGUAACACGUGAGUAACCUGCCCUUGACUUUGGGAUAACUUCAGGAAACUGGGGCUAAUACCGGAUAGGAGCUCAUGCUGCAUGGUGGGGGUUGGAAAGUUUCGGCGGUUGGGGAUGGACUCGCGGCUUAUCAGCUUGUUGGUGGGGUAGUGGCUUACCAAGGCUUUGACGGGUAGCCGGCCUGAGAGGGUGACCGGCCACAUUGGGACUGAGAUACGGCCCAG